CUACGGGGGGCUGCAGUGGGGAAUAUUGGACAAUGGGCGCAAGCCUGAUCCAGCCAUGCCGCGUGAGUGAUGAAGGCCCUAGGGUUGUAAAGCUCUUUCGCCGGUGAAGAUAAUGACGGUAACCGGUAAAGAAGCCCCGGCUAACUUCGUGCCAGCAGCCGCGGUAAUACGAAGGGGGCUAGCGUUGUUCGGAAUUACUGGGCGUAAAGCGCACGUAGGCGGACAUUUAAGUCAGGGGUGAAAUCCCGGGGCUCAACCCCGGAACUGCCUUUGAUACUGGAUGUCUUGAGUCCGGAAGAGGUGAGUGGAAUUGCGAGUGUAGAGGUGAAAUUCGUAGAUAUUCGCAGGAACACCAGUGGCGAAGGCGGCUCACUGGUCCGGUACUGACGCUGAGGUGCGAAAGCGUGGGGAGCAAACAGGAUUAGAUACCCGGGUAGUC
Molecule: ribosomal RNA, 439 nt
Filed under: uncultured bacterium
Lineage: Bacteria
Description: partial 16S ribosomal RNA
Rfam family: Bacterial small subunit ribosomal RNA
Source: RNAcentral